RNAcentral lists this unclassified non-coding RNA (2668 nucleotides) under Limulus polyphemus (Atlantic horseshoe crab). Its description in RNAcentral is "uncharacterized LOC106476563, transcript variant X1". Lineage: Eukaryota; Metazoa; Arthropoda; Merostomata; Xiphosura; Limulidae. The record is from RNAcentral.
GCUGGUGAUGAUAAACAUGCAUUUCAUUCAGCAGAACAGAGUGUUAUAGCUCGAAGUAAAAAAACUGGAGUUGAAAUUCAGUGUGCACUUACUAAACGUCCAAAAAAAAAGAAAUACGGUAUUCUAUGAUGAAUAGUGAAAGUAUUGAUAGAACUGUUGUUCCUCCCUUAACAUCAGUUAGAAAAAUCUUUAAUGAAUCUGGAGAUCAAAAAGAAAUGCUGUCAUCUUGGAAUAACAAAAACCAGUUGGAGAAUGAAGUUGUGGAAAGAUCUGAAUCUAAAAAAAAUCAAAUCUCUCUGUUAGAUUUUCCAGGCAGCUCUGUUACUGAUCAUUCAAAGACAAGGGAAAACACUUCUAAAACAGAAAGGACUGAAUCACAGAAUGAGGCUGUGAUUUUUAGCUCUCCCGUUUUUUAUGAUAGAAGCAGCAGAAAUUCAUCUUCCAUGGUCAGUUUCACAGAAAAGCAGAUAACAGCACUGGAGGAAAAAACAUAUGAACUGAAGAAGUAUUUGGAGGAGACAUCCACAAAAACUUCAGAACUAGCAACGACAGGUGUGUAUAGGAAAGAUAAGAAAUCUGCUGUAUGUUUACAAGAAACGGAACAGAAAGAAAGUAAUGAUAACUCCAUGACUGAAUUAUUCUCCUUGUCUAAUUCUCCAGCAGACUAUUACUCAAGAAAUAGUAGCUCUCUGUCUGUGGAAGAACUGUUGCAAGAACAGGAGUAUAAUUUUGCACAGUUUAGACAACAGAUUCAAGAACAACAUAAACAUCAAAUGGAGACUUUGUUGCAUCAACAGAUGGAGCAGAGGAAAAGUUUACAGGAGAAAUUAGCCAAUCAGGAAGUCCUGCUUGCUCAAGGGCCAGGGUUUAUCAAAGAGACAGAAAGAAAUCAUCAGAAACCUUUGAUGGAAGGAAAUAUUUCAGAAAGCUUAAAGGAAACACCAGACACUCCUGAGAAUUUUCACAAUGAUACCAGUCUUGGUUCUAACAUCACUUUUCCAGUUAACCAGGCAAAUUCAUUAAGAAAACAAUCACUUAUUGAAGAAAUCGGUUCAUCUGCUCUUCCUCCAAAAGAAACUCCAAUCUUUCAUGUCCCAUCUGACAGUGUUAUUAAGGAUUUAAGUACUCAUCCAGUGGUGUCUCAAGUUUUAGAAGAUAAAGCAACAGGUGUGCCAUCAGAGUUCAAACAAAUGCCUAGUUCAGUAGCUGAAAUUCCUCCAGAGGCUUUAGAUCCAGCCAUGAAGUCAAAAUUUGAUCACCUUACUGCAGCAGCUAAAGGUUUUCUCACAAGGCUUCUAAUGAAAAGUGAUAGAGUACAAGGGGUUAUUCAGACAAUUAAGGACACUUUGGAGUGUGCUCUCAAGUUUCAUCAAGAAACACCUAUCAAAAAGGGUUAUGUAACUUUGCAAGAUGCUGAACUUCACAAGAGGCUUCUUACACAGUUAACAGCUGCCUGCUAUGAACUACAUAGUAUUUUUUUUCGAACUUUCUACCAAAGAAAAAAUGGCAAUCAUUGCUCAGUCCAGAAAGAGUUCCAAAGGAAGGCAACAAGUCAGUUCACCUGCAGAAAUUCAAUUAAAUCCAGAACCUGUAAGGAAAAUGUCUUCAGCAACUCUCAAAUCCUUGGAAAGGAAGAAAGGAAGGAAGCAAGCAAUGUCUAGAUCCAUGAAUUAUUUAUCCCCAGCUAAAAUGGAAUCUCAGGGAUAUGGAAAAAGAGCAGGAAGCUCUGUUAUGAUAAAGCCUCGAAAUUUACCUCCUGGCAUGAAAAAUUCUAUGAGUACCAAGCUGCAGGUGGUUGAUUCAAACAAAAUUCUCUCACGAGAAGGGGUACCAAGAAGAACAAUCAGACGUGUGCGACGAUCCCUUUAUGACAAAACCACCACUGAGUCGCAUGUUUCUCAAAUGAGAACAUUGUUUCCAAGAAAUGAGCAGGCUGAUUGGAAAGAUUAAAACUAAGUUAUUUUUUUAUUGGAAAUUUCUACACAAAAGUUAUUAGCUGUUAUACAAAAAUACAGAAUGGAAACUUCCUUUUUUUAUAGAAUCUAAAAACUACAAUUUUUUUCUGCCAGUGAUGUCGGUAAUUAAUAAUUUUCGUAACUAAUUUAUAUUUUUCUGUUAUCAAAUGUAAUUUGUAAUAAGGAACCGUUUCUUGAAGCUUUUGCUGUAUGUUAAUUUUUACUAGGCUAUAUGUAUUAUUUAAAAGUUAACGUAUAUGUCAUUGUUUAGUAAAGUGAUUUUUUUGAGUUAUAACUUUCGUUUAGUGCGUUAUUAGUUUGCGUUUUUAAGAGGUUUAAUGCAAAUUUUUUGCUUUUGUUUACAGAUAAAUAAUUUUCAAUAAUUCUUCAUGUGUUUGCUGUUCAACAUUUAAUUUUUGUUGCUAUGUAGUUAUUUUUCCUUUAGUUUAGAAUUUGAAAACUAUUUUCAAUUUUUAUACCAAGUUGUAUCUUGCUGUUAGGUGUUAUUGCUGCUAAAACCUAGUCUCAGUGAAUUUUGUACUUGUCAUAAUCAGUGAUAACCUUUACUUAAUAUACUCUGAUACCAGUAUUUUCAUCAGGAUCCUCUUGUUAUGAUUAAGGAUUAUAGAAGAACAUUCUAUUUAAAAAUAUAUAUAUUUAUAUAUAUAUUUUUGUAUGUGUUAGGAUUUUUUACUUUUUUAAAAAAUAACAUA